AUGGCGAUCGAGAAGAAGGGGAUGUCGGCGUACGAGGCGGAGCGGGAGAGGACGGUGGAGGAGAACAAGCGCAAGAUGGAGGCGCUCAACCUGCGCCACCUCUCCGCCGCCGUCGCCACCUACGCCCCCAAGACCCCCUCCCCCAUGAAGCACAAGAGGCGCAGGAUCAUCGAGGCGGCGACCCCCGUCCCGUCGCCGCCCAGGAGGUCCCGCCGGCUCGCCCACCUCCCCGAGGUCAAGUACGCCGACGCCUGCGCGGAGGUGGGAGAAGAUAGUGAGAGAGCGGGAAGGUGGUCUCCUAGAAGACGAAGUGGCAGCAUCUACUUAGCAGGAGGUGGAGGUGGACCAAUUUCCAUGAAAGCUAGGAUGGAGGCAGCAAGCAAAGCAGAGGAGUUAGAAUCACAACUUGACCCUGAAUUUCCAUCCUUCAUGAAGCGGAUGCUACAUUCACAUGUGGUGCGAGGGUUCUGGUUGGGUCUCCCAAGCCAUUUCUGUGACACGUACCUGCCAAAGAAUGACUGCACUAUCACUUUGGUGGAUGAGAAAGAUGAAGAGUUCGAGUCCAAAUACCUUGCCUACAAGAAGGGGCUAAGUGGUGGCUGGGCUGGUUUUGCUCUGGAUCAUGUGAUUCGGGAUGGAGACUCGACGGUCUUUCAGCUGAUCAAGCCUACAACCUUCAAGGUGCAUAUCAUCCGAGCUGCUGUUGGUGAUGAUGACAACGAGGAAAUGGAGUGA
This 735-nucleotide ribosomal RNA is filed under the name Triticum aestivum (bread wheat). RNAcentral describes it as "partial small subunit ribosomal RNA". Lineage: Eukaryota; Viridiplantae; Streptophyta; Magnoliopsida; Poales; Poaceae. The record is from RNAcentral.